GGCUUACCAAGGCAACGAUGCGUAGCCGACCUGAGAGGGUGAUCGGCCACAUUGGAACUGAGACACGGUCCAGACUCCUACGGGAGGCAGCAGUGGGGAAUAUUGCGCAAUGGGGGAAACCCUGACGCAGCAACGCCGCGUGGGUGAUGAAGGUCUUCGGAUUGUAAAGCCCUGUUUUCUAGGACGAUAAUGACGGUACUAGAGGAGGAAGCCACGGCUAACUACGUGCCAGCAGCCGCGGUAAUACGUAGGUGGCGAGCGUUGUCCGGAUUUACUGGGCGUAAGGUGCGUAGGCGGAUGUUUAAGUGGGAUGUGAAAUCCCCGGGCUUAACCUGGGGGCUGCAUUCCAAACUGGAUAUCUAGAGUGCAGGAGAGGAAAGCGGAAUUCCUAGUGUAGCGGUGAAAUGCGUAGAGAUUAGGAAGAACACCAGUGGCGAAGGCGGCUUUCUGGACUGUAACUGACGCUGAGGCACGAAAGCGUGGGUAGCAAACAGGAUUAGAUACCCUGGUAGUCCACGCCGUAAACGAUGGAUACUAGGUGUAGGGGGUAUCAACUCCCCCUGUGCCGCAGUUA
This 574-nucleotide ribosomal RNA is filed under the name Clostridium botulinum. RNAcentral's name for it is "bacterial SSU rRNA". It matches the Rfam family "Bacterial small subunit ribosomal RNA", at positions 262 to 854 of the family's 1533-position model. Lineage: Bacteria; Bacillati; Bacillota; Clostridia; Eubacteriales; Clostridiaceae. The record is from RNAcentral.